UACGAAGGGGGCUAGCGUUGCUCGGAAUUACUGGGCGUAAAGCGCACGUAGGCGGCUUCUUAAGUCGGUGGUGAAAUCCUGGAGCUCAACUCCAGAACUGCCUUUGAUACUGAGGAUCUUGAGUAUGGGAGAGGUGAGUGGAACUGCGAGUGUAGAGGUGAAAUUCGUAGAUAUUCGCAAGAACACCAGUGGCGAAGGCGGCUCACUGGCCCAUUACUGACGCUGAGGCACGAAGGCGUGGGGAGCAAACAGG
This 253-nucleotide ribosomal RNA is filed under the name uncultured bacterium. Its description in RNAcentral is "partial 16S ribosomal RNA". It matches the Rfam family "Bacterial small subunit ribosomal RNA", at positions 524 to 776 of the family's 1533-position model. The record is from RNAcentral.